AUCGGUUUUAUCACAAUCGAUAGUAUGGAAACAAUGGAAUGUUAACAAAAAUUGCGUUAGAAAAGCGAAUAAAUAGCAGAACUAUAAUAGGAAAGGUAUCAAUUGCAUUUCGAGACACUUAUCUCUUUACAGCAAUUGUAAAUAUGUAUUUCACGCCAGCUUUUCUCGUAGCUGUCGCAGCAUUUGUUGCAUUACUUGAUGGCGCACUAGCAGAACUCCUUCCUCCCAGACGUGAUUGGCCUGGAGACCACCAUCAUGGCAUUUAACACCAUGGGUUUAAGGAACCCCGACCGGGUGACAGGGGCGCUGUACUGACCGGGGGUUCUAUUACCUACAUUUCAUUCCCUGGUUAAAAUUAUACCUUUUACAAAUCAAUUCCAUCAAUACUGUACAAAAAAUCUCCAAAAAAAAGUAAAUGUUUCAACAAUU
This is a long non-coding RNA of Macrosteles quadrilineatus (aster leafhopper), 429 nucleotides long. RefSeq lists it as uncharacterized. The record is from RefSeq and is a predicted model, not a curated record. Lineage: Eukaryota; Metazoa; Arthropoda; Insecta; Hemiptera; Cicadellidae. The transcript is spliced from 3 exons.